RNAcentral lists this ribosomal RNA (253 nucleotides) under uncultured bacterium. RNAcentral describes it as "partial 16S ribosomal RNA". It matches the Rfam family "Bacterial small subunit ribosomal RNA", at positions 524 to 776 of the family's 1533-position model. The record is from RNAcentral.
UACGGAGGGGGCUAGCGUUGUUCGGAAUUACUGGGCGUAAAGCGCACGUAGGCGGCUUUGUAAGUUAGAGGUGAAAGCCCGGGGCUCAACUCCGGAAUUGCCUUUAAGACUGCAUCGCUAGAAUUGUGGAGAGGUAAGUGGAAUUCCGAGUGUAGAGGUGAAAUUCGUAGAUAUUCGGAAGAACACCAGUGGCGAAGGCGACUCGCUGGACAGGUAUUGACGCUGAGGUGCGAAAGCGUGGGGAGCAAACAGG